AAGUAAUCUAUUCUCUCUCCCGCAGCAAAUCUCUCAAGCUCUCAUGUCUCUCUUCAUGUUCUGAUGGGAAAGAGAUCCAUGUCUUUAUCAUAUUGGAGGAAGGAAGUUGGAGAUGGACCCCUCUCUCAAUUUCACGUCUCUCUCCUCAAACUCUCUUCUCUCUCUACCUCUCCACAUGGAAAUAGAUCCGUGCCUCUCCCAAAUUGCAAGAAGGAAGUGGGGCAUGGAUCUGCUGCACUGUCGGAGCUAAUCAC
RNAcentral lists this long non-coding RNA (254 nucleotides) under Hordeum vulgare. Its description in RNAcentral is "long non-coding RNA (HVUL_LNC011601)". Lineage: Eukaryota; Viridiplantae; Streptophyta; Magnoliopsida; Poales; Poaceae. The record is from RNAcentral.